RNAcentral lists this long non-coding RNA (1351 nucleotides) under Mus musculus (house mouse). RNAcentral's name for it is "RIKEN cDNA 9630002D21 gene". The record is from RNAcentral. Lineage: Eukaryota; Metazoa; Chordata; Mammalia; Rodentia; Muridae.
CACAAAGGGCACCUUCCUCAUCUCAUGGGUUAAAUGUAGUUUCAUUCAGACUCAUAAGCCCGAAAUUUCUUUUAGUAGAAAUAGAGAAAUCCAGGAUAGGCAGAGCUACACAGAGAAACCCUGCCACCCACCCCCCCCCCCAAACAAAACAAAACAAAUAAAACCAAAGAAACAAAACGAAAUAGAAUAGGCACGGGUGCUGCGUGAUGCUGCCCACAGGAGCCGCAGUUUUAAGUUACAGUGACUCACAGGAAGGUUUAUGUUGUACAGAAUUCUGUCCUUGGUGAUGGGCUGCCAUUGCCUAUGCCUGGACUGUUCUGCCCGUGGAUCUGCCUGGCGUGGGGUACUUCCAGAUGCCGCCCGUGAUGAUGAUUCCUGGGAAUUUGGCAAUAACAAAAGGGUUGCAAAAACACAGCUCUAGAAAUGAACCACGAGAGUCCAGGGUGGUGUGCUCCAACUGCUGCCACGCACAAGCAGACCAGCUAUGUGACGAACAAACAGAUGUCUUGGAGUGACAGUGGCUGUCCUGCUGUGUCUUCUCGGAGAUCAAGCCAUCCAUGAGAAAAGCCAGCAUGAAAUUCUCCACAGUUUCAAAUCCUGUGAAAAACGAUCAGCACUUACUUCCCUUGGCUAUAGUACCAACUGGGACCCCCACAGCCAUGCCUGGACUGCUCUUCUAUCUAACGUGGGAGCCGACUUUCUAACAGCUGGAAGAAAAAGCUGCAAAAGAGAGAGAUAGGCAAGGCCCCAAGAAACAACACAUGGAAGGCCUUGUCAAUCAAACUUGUAGAGGGUUUUUCACAGGCCCCUCUGAAUGUCUCCAAUUAGGCUGGAGGAAGAGGAAACUGAUCAGUUGCUUCUCCCAACACAACAGAAGCGUACCCCAAGAAAGACCACAGAUACAGCAGACUGCUAAGAAGAGGACAGAAAUUAGCGGGUAAUUUCUAGAAGAACUUACAUGAAAGUGCCCAGAUGAAAUCACAUCUGAAGCACCUCUUCCUGUAGCUGACCCACUAUUUCAUAUCUCAGUCUUCAAGCAUUUAGUCACAUCUCAUACUUGAAGUGUGCCCAUCUGUCUUGUCUUCACUAUGUCUGAAGCUAGAAUGUUCUGUUCCAUUAUCUACUCCCUCCCACCCUUAAUCGUGAGUCCAGCUGUCUGUCUGAAACAACGCAGCAAGAAGUCGAGGAUACCAAUUGCCUGAAACCUGCUUGCUCUGGGGUGGAGCUUCCUGCUCAUUCGUUCUGCCACACCCACUGCUGGAACCUGCCGCCUUGCUUUUCCGAAGCCAUCACGUGCUCACCCUGCUACUGGACUCCGAGAUUAUUUGGCGGGAAUCAGGUCCCCUCCCCC